This 379-nucleotide unclassified non-coding RNA is filed under the name uncultured bacterium. Its description in RNAcentral is "contains 16S-23S intergenic spacer region". The record is from RNAcentral.
UCCGAGUUGUCCCCGGCAGUCCCCUUAGAGUCCCCGGCAUUACCCGCUGGCAACUAAGGGCAGGGGUUGCGCUCGUUGCGGCACUUAAGCCAACACCUCACGGCACGAGCUGACGACAGCCAUGCAGCACCUGUGCUGGCCCCUUGCGGGUCCCUUCCCUUUCAGGUCAGUACCACUUGCAUGUCAAGCCCAGGUAAGGUUCUUCGCUUACCAUCGAAUUAAACCACACGCUCCGCUGCUUGUGCGGGGUCCCGUCAAUUCCUUUGAGUUUUAGCCUUGCGGCCGUAGUCCCCAGGCGGAGUGCUUAACGCGUUAGCUUCGGCUCACAGGGGGUCGAUACCCAGAAAACCCAGCACUCAUCGUUUAGGGCGUGGACUAC